RNAcentral lists this unclassified non-coding RNA (254 nucleotides) under Hevea brasiliensis (rubber tree). The record is from RNAcentral. Lineage: Eukaryota; Viridiplantae; Streptophyta; Magnoliopsida; Malpighiales; Euphorbiaceae.
GUAAUAUUGACCAUGCAAGAAGAGUUUUUGAUAUGGCAUUGUCAUCAAUUGAUGGGCUUCCAUUGCAUUUACAAUCUAAUGCUCCCCUUUUAUAUUUCUGGUAUGCUGAGGCAGAACUUGCCAACAGUUAUGGGAAUACUCAAGAAUCGUCACCUAGAGCAUUGCACAUUCUAUCCUGCUUAGGAACUGGACCAAAGUAUUAUCCAUUUGAGCACAAACCAUCAGGCCUGCAAUUGCUGAGAGCACACCAAGGG